UGGGGGCUCAACGAAAGCAGCGGAUGUAGCAGGUUCUUAGGCAAGGCCCCCACUGAUGAGAGCCUCUGGCUGUGGGCCAGGCUCAGGCGGCCUCAGCCCACAGCACAGGUCCCAGCUGAACUGCAAGCUGCUGUCCCACCGUCCCCAGCUCAGAGCAAAGCAGAAACUCGAAGCAGACGCUGCUCCCCAAAAGCAGCACCCCAAAAGAUGCUGGGGCAGGCGCCAUGGGCAAGGCUGUCUCCUUCUGGCCCUGCCGUCCUGCUGCUGGUGCUCUGUGAGUUGGGGCAUUGCUGGGUGUGGGGGCUGAGGGCUGGAGGGCUGCUGCUGGGGGCAGAAAAGGCAGAGGGGAGGAUGGGGACAGUAUGUGUGGGGCAGUGGUGCAGCACCGUGGGGCAGAGUUUGUUUGUUGAAGGCAGGAUGGGGAUGGCUUCCUCCAGGUAUGAUACAGAUCUGAGCAAGGGGAACACUUCUGCAGCACUAUAAACUGUCUGGAGUGUUGCUCUGAGGCUCUAGGACUGCUGAGUUUUUUAAGGAGAUACGGGAUUUACCUGGAACAAGAAAUCCACAAAAAAAGGGAUUGGGAUUGACAUUGUUCAAGAGGUUAUUGAAGAGAUAGAGCAUGAGAACACGCAGAUGUAAUGAUGCCUGCUUAGCAGUGAGGAUUUGGUCAGGGGGGAUAUGGGAGUAGGGUGAUAUGGUUGAGACUUGUCACUGCUCCUCUCAGCAAAUCCCUCUCUGUCCCCAGGUACAGCUGCCAGCAUGACCUGCCAGAACAUCUGCAGCUCCCCAGGUACUCGUGAGUCCUUCCCUCCCAGACCCUGCGCACUUGGAAGCCCAACCACUGUGAGCUGUGCCCUAUGGCAGCCCUUCACUGCUGUGUCUCCUGCAGGGGAUCUCCCAGCUCCUGCUCUCCAAAUGAACUCAAGUUCUGCUCAGCCAGGUACCACUGUUGUGCUCCAGUGUAUUCUCCAUGUGGUGUCACAUGCAAGACGAAUCAUCAUCUGCAAGGAUGGGAAGGAGGUGUACAGCCAGAAAGCCCAUGAAGGGCAGCUGAGCUACUCCCUGGUCCUGAACAUCACGUCAAGUACUGCAGGAAUAUAUACCUGUGGGUACCAGGAGUGGAAUGAGAUGAAACACAAGAGGAGCUCUGCCCUCAAUGCUGGCCAAAUCCUGGAUGUCCCCGGUGCAGCUGCUGGCGUGACCACCCAGGACAUCGGCAGCUCCCCAGGUGAGGUUGAGCGUGGGGAUGGGUGACUGAAGAGAGGAGUGUGUGGGGUGGUGAUGGCAAGGGAGAGGGAAUUUGUUCUCUGUGUGUGAGCUCCUGGGAAGGAAUCACUUCCCUGCAUGGAACACAAAGCAUUUUGUGUCCAGUUCUGGGAUUCCCUGUACAAGAGGGGCAUAGAACUACUGGAGAGAGUCCAGAGGAGGGUUGCAAAGAUGAUCAGAGGACCGGAGCCAAGAGCACUGAGUCUGUUUUGCCUGGAAAAGAGGAGACUGAGGGGAGACCUCAUCCAUGUCUAUAAAUAUCUGAGGGGAGGGUGUUGAGAGAAUGGUGCUGGUCUGCCCAGGGAAAGGGCGAGAAGCAAUGGGCUCAAACUGAAGCACAGAAAGUUCCAUCUGGAUAUGAGGGGCAAUUCUUUACUGGGAGGGUGACAGAGCACUGGAACAGGCUGCCCAGAGAUGCUGUGGAGUCUCCUCUGCAGAUAUUCCAAACCCACCUGGAUGCCAUUCUGUGUAGUCUGUCCCAGGUGAUCCUGCUCAGCAGAAGGCUGGACUCCAUGACUUUCAGAGGUCCCUUCCAACCUUGGCCAUUCUGUGAUUGUGUGAUCCUCUAGCACCAAGAAUCACAGACAGAUGAGAGUGGUGGUGCCAUAUUUAAUCGACAGGCACACCUUGGCCAAGCUAUACUUAACCACUCACGAGGGAAUUUAGACAGCAGAUCCAUGGAGACCUAUGUUGGCACAACAACCGCGGGCAAUUUUAUGCCUUCCCUGGGGAUGGUGCUGGCUGUCGGUGGGGGGAUGUGGCCAUGGGGAUGAGGCUCGUUCUGGGAAGGAUCUGGGUGCACUGUAGGCACUAAGCCUGUCCUUUUGUCCUGCCAGGCAAUGUGGUGAGUUCCCCAGCAAGUCCAUCAACCACAGGUGAGUGAUUCCCUCCUACACCCCCAGAAACCCGAGAAUGGGGAGUGGGUGUGCUGUGCUGCCAUCCCCAGGGCAUGGGGACAAACAGGAGCUUUACCAGGCAGGAGCUGUGC
This 2254-nucleotide long non-coding RNA is filed under the name Anas platyrhynchos platyrhynchos (common mallard). Its description in RNAcentral is "lncRNA (ENSAPLG00000029302.1)". The record is from RNAcentral. Lineage: Eukaryota; Metazoa; Chordata; Aves; Anseriformes; Anatidae.